UCGGGAAUUUUGGGCAAUGGGCGAAAGCCUGACCCAGCAACGCCGCGUGAAGGAUGAAGUAUUUCGGUAUGUAAACUUCGUAAGAAUAGGAAGAAUAAAUGACGGUACUAUUUGUAAGGUCCGGCUAACUACGUGCCAGCAGCCGCGGUAAUACGUAGGGACCAAGCGUUGUUCGGAUUUACUGGGCGUAAAGGGCGCGUAGGCGGUUUGUCAAGUCAGUUGUGAAAUCUCCGAGCUUAACUCGGAACGGUCAACUGAUACUGUCAAACUAGAGUACAGAAGGGGCAAUCGGAAUUCUUGGUGUAGCGGUGAAAUGCGUAGAUAUCAAGAGGAACACCUGAGGCGAAGGCGGGUUGCUGGGCUGACACUGACGCUGAGGCGCGAAAGCUAGGGUAGCAAACGGGAUUAGAUACCCCCGUAGUCCCUGAGCGGGCUGGCAAGGCGCAU
Molecule: ribosomal RNA, 447 nt
Filed under: uncultured bacterium
Lineage: Bacteria
Description: bacterial SSU rRNA
Rfam family: Bacterial small subunit ribosomal RNA
Source: RNAcentral